RNAcentral lists this ribosomal RNA (338 nucleotides) under uncultured soil bacterium. Its description in RNAcentral is "bacterial SSU rRNA". It matches the Rfam family "Bacterial small subunit ribosomal RNA", at positions 26 to 386 of the family's 1533-position model. The record is from RNAcentral.
AGAACGAACGCUGGCGGCAUGCCUAACACAUGCAAGUCGAACGAGACCUUCGGGUCUAGUGGCGCACGGGUGCGUAACGCGUGGGAAUCUGCCCUUCGGUUCGGAAUAACAGUUAGAAAUGACUGCUAAUACCGGAUGAUGUCUUCGGACCAAAGAUUUAUCGCCGAGGGAUGAGCCCGCGUAGGAUUAGCUAGUUGGUGAGGUAAAAGCUCACCGAAGGCGACGAUCCUUAGCUGGUCUGAGAGGAUGAUCAGCCACACUGGGACUGAGACACGGCCAGACUCGUACGGGAGGCAGCAGUGGGGAAAUAUUGGGACAAGUGGGACGUAAACGCUAGA